UACGGAGGGUGCAAGCGUUAUCCGGAUUUACUGGGUUUAAAGGGUGUGUAGGCGGGUCUUUAAGUCAGUGGUGAAAUCUCCGAGCUUAACUUGGAAACUGCCAUUGAUACUAUUGAUCUUGAAUUCUGUUGAGGUGGGCGGAAUAUGUCAUGUAGCGGUGAAAUGCAUAGAUAUGACAUAGAACACCAAUUGCGAAGGCAGCUCACUAAACAGAUAUUGACGCUGAGGCACGAAAGCGUGGGGAUCAAACAGG
This 253-nucleotide ribosomal RNA is filed under the name uncultured bacterium. RNAcentral's name for it is "partial 16S ribosomal RNA". It matches the Rfam family "Bacterial small subunit ribosomal RNA", at positions 524 to 776 of the family's 1533-position model. The record is from RNAcentral.